UACGUAGGGGGCAAGCGUUGUCCGGAAUUAUUGGGCGUAAAGAGCGUGUAGGCGGUCCGGUAAGUCAGCUGUGAAAGUCAAGGGCUCAACCCUUGAAAGCCGGUUGAUACUGUCGGGCUAGAGUCCGGAAGAGGCGAGUGGAAUUCCCGGUGUAGCGGUGAAAUGCGCAGAUAUCAGGAAGAACACCGGUGGCGAAGGCGGGUCUCUGGGCCGAUACUGACGCUGAGGAGCGAAAGCGUGGGGAGCAAACAGG
RNAcentral lists this ribosomal RNA (253 nucleotides) under uncultured bacterium. Its description in RNAcentral is "partial 16S ribosomal RNA". It matches the Rfam family "Bacterial small subunit ribosomal RNA", at positions 524 to 776 of the family's 1533-position model. The record is from RNAcentral.